Molecule: non-coding RNA, 72 nt
Organism: Bos taurus (domestic cattle)
Lineage: Eukaryota; Metazoa; Chordata; Mammalia; Artiodactyla; Bovidae
Source: Rfam
UCCCUGGUGGCUCAGAUGGUAAAGCAUCUGCCUGCAAUGCAGGAGACCUGGGUUCGAUUCCUGGGUCGGGAA